RNAcentral lists this ribosomal RNA (159 nucleotides) under Melaleuca bracteata. Its description in RNAcentral is "5.8S ribosomal RNA". It matches the Rfam family "5.8S ribosomal RNA". From Rfam's summary of the family: 5.8S ribosomal RNA (5.8S rRNA) is a component of the large subunit of the eukaryotic ribosome. It is transcribed by RNA polymerase I as part of the 45S precursor that also contains 18S and 28S rRNA. Functionally, it is thought that 5.8S rRNA may be involved in ribosome translocation. The record is from RNAcentral. Lineage: Eukaryota; Viridiplantae; Streptophyta; Magnoliopsida; Myrtales; Myrtaceae.
CGACUCUCGACAACGGAUAUCUCGGCUCUCGCAUCGAUGAAGAACGUAGCGAACUGCGAUACUUGGUGUGAAUUGCAGAAUCCCGUGAACCAUCGAGUCUUUGAACGCAAGUUGCGCCCGAAGCCAUCUGGUUAGGGCACGUUUGCCUGGGUGUCACAC